RNAcentral lists this ribosomal RNA (253 nucleotides) under uncultured bacterium. Its description in RNAcentral is "partial 16S ribosomal RNA". It matches the Rfam family "Bacterial small subunit ribosomal RNA", at positions 524 to 776 of the family's 1533-position model. The record is from RNAcentral.
UACGUAGGGUGCAGGCGUUAAUCGGAAUUACUGGGCGUAAAGCGUGCGCAGGCGGUCUGCUAAGACAGGUGUGAAAUCCCCGGGCUUAACCUGGGAACUGCGUCUGGGACUGGUAUGCUAGAGUUCGGGAGAGGAGAGUGGAAUUCCCAGUGUAGAGGUGAAAUUCGUAGAUAUCGGGAGGAACACCAGUGGCGAAGGCGACUUCCUGGCCUGUUCUUGACGCUGAGGCGCGAAAGCUAGGGUAGCAAACGGG